This is a long non-coding RNA of Ornithodoros turicata, 602 nucleotides long. RefSeq lists it as uncharacterized. The record is from RefSeq and is a predicted model, not a curated record. The transcript has 5 exons. Lineage: Eukaryota; Metazoa; Arthropoda; Arachnida; Ixodida; Argasidae.
GCCGGACGCCGAACAUCGUGCGCGGACGAUCGUUGAGGAGGGAGGACGAAGUGGUCGUUGUAAAUCUCGUGAACUCAGGUAUCCAGAAUCGUUCCAGUUGAAUGUGGAUGGUCCCGGAAUAACAACCAGUGGAGUGCAGCCGCCAAGACCCAACUACUACCCGUUGCGCGUCCGGAAAGUUUGAAGUUUCAACGAUUGAAACUGAACAGUGUUUUGAUGCCAGAGCUGACUGAUGGGUGCACAUGGUUCCUUCGAAUGUUCUUCCUUUGAAAAAAUAAACGUGUUUUGAUUCCAGAGCUGACUGAUGGGUGCACAUGGUUCCCUCGAAUAUUCUUCCUUUGAAAAAAUAAACGGGUUUUGAAGCCAGAGGUGAUUGGCGCAUUUUCAUCACUACGUAUACAUAGAAAAUAAAUCCCAAUGUGACAAACAUCACAAUGUGUUACGCAUGGUCAUUACUUAAACUGCUCUCAUUGCUACGACUAUAUGUAGAAAAAAAAGGGGGCUCCAGGGCACAGCACGAUAAGGGUAUACGGCAUAUGCCAGUUAAAAUUACCGACCAAUACAGUUUUUUUGACGGCCACAGCACAGUAAUGCUACACGGC